GUUGCCUACGGGACGCAGCAGUGAGGAAUAUUGGUCAAUGGGCGGGAGCCUGAACCAGCCAAGCCGCGUGAAGGAAGAAGGCGCCAGGCGUCGUAAACUUCUUUUGUCGGGGAGCAAAGGGCGCCACGUGUGGCGUUGUGAGUGUACCCGAAGAAAAAGCAUCGGCUAACUCCGUGCCAGCAGCCGCGGUAAUACGGAGGAUGCGAGCGUUAUCCGGAUUUAUUGGGUUUAAAGGGUGCGUAGGCGGUCCGGAAAGUCAGCGGUAAACGCCCGGGUCUCAACCCCGGCGAGCCGUUGAAACUGUC
Molecule: ribosomal RNA, 305 nt
Filed under: uncultured bacterium
Lineage: Bacteria
Description: bacterial SSU rRNA
Rfam family: Bacterial small subunit ribosomal RNA
Source: RNAcentral